UUCCGGUUGAUCCUGCCGGACCCGACUGCUAUUUGGGUGAGAAUAAGCCAUGCGAGUUGAAUGGGAUACCUAAAGUUCCCAUAGCAAACUGCUCAGUAACACAUGAUCAACUUACCCUAUAGAGAAAAAUAACCUCGGGAAACUGAGGAUAAUGUUUCAUAAUUGAAUUGGCUUGGAAAAGUUUUUCAAUGAAAAGGAUAAAAAAAAUGGUUUUUAUCUGCUAUAGGAUAGGAUCGUGUUCGAUUAUGGUUGUUGGUGAGAUAAUGGCUCACCAAGCCGAUAAUCGAUAGGGGCCGUGAGAGCGGGAGCCCCGAGAUGGGUACUGAGACAACGACCCAGGCCUUACGAGGCGCAGCAGGCGCGGAACCUCCGCAAUACACGAAAGUGUGACGGGGUUACCCAAAGUGUUCAAUAGAACUGUGGUAGGUGAGUAAUGUUCCCUACUAGAAAGGAGAGGGCAAGGCUGGUGCCAGCCGCCGCGGUAAAACCAGCUCUUCAAGUGGUCGGGAUAAUUAUUGGGCUUAAAGUGUCCGUAGCCGGUUUAGUAAGUUCCUGGUAAAAUCGGGUAGCUUAACUAUCUGCAUGCUAGGAAUACUGCUAUACUAGAGGGCGGGAGAGGUCUGAGGUACUACAGAGGUAGGGGUGAAAUCUUAUAAUCCUUGUAGGACCACCAGUGGCGAAGGCGUCAGACUGGAACGCGCCUGACGGUGAGGGACGAAAGCCAGGGGAGCGAACCGGAUUAGAUACCCGGGUAGUCCUGGCCGUAAACGAUGCAUACUAGGUGAUGGUACGGCCAUGAGCCGUAUCAGUGCCGUAGGGAAACCGUUAAGUGUGCCGCCUGGAAGUACGGUCGCAAGGCUAAAACUUAAAGGAAUUGGCGGGGGAGCACCACAAGGGGUGAAGCCUGCGGUUCAAUUGGAGUCAACGCCGGGAAUCACUAGUGCGGCCGC
RNAcentral lists this ribosomal RNA (950 nucleotides) under uncultured archaeon. RNAcentral's name for it is "partial 16S rRNA". It matches the Rfam family "Archaeal small subunit ribosomal RNA", at positions 1 to 943 of the family's 1478-position model. The record is from RNAcentral.